This 791-nucleotide ribosomal RNA is filed under the name uncultured Pelagibacteraceae bacterium. Its description in RNAcentral is "bacterial SSU rRNA". It matches the Rfam family "Bacterial small subunit ribosomal RNA", at positions 45 to 884 of the family's 1533-position model. The record is from RNAcentral. Lineage: Bacteria; Pseudomonadati; Pseudomonadota; Alphaproteobacteria; Candidatus Pelagibacterales; Candidatus Pelagibacteraceae.
CGCCUAACACAUGCAAGUCGAACGAAGUAGCAAUACUUAGUGGCAGACGGGUGAGUAACAUGUAGGUAUCUGCCCUUUGGCCUGGAAUAACACGAGGAAACUUGUGCUAAUACCGGAUAAGUCUUUACGGAGAAAGCUUAAUGCACCAUUGGAUGAGCCUGCACUUGAUUAGUUUGUUGGUGGGGUAAUGGCCUACCAAGACUGUGAUCAAUAGCUGAUUUGAGAGGAUGAUCAGCCACAUUGGGACUGAGACACGGCCCAAACUCCUACGGGAGGCAGCAGUGGGGAAUCUUGCACAAUGGAGGAAACUCUGAUGCAGCGAUGCCGCGUGAGUGAAGAAGGCCUUUGGGUUGUAAAGCUCUUUCGUCGGGGAAGAAAAUGACUGUACCCGAAUAAGAAGGUCCGGCUAACUUCGUGCCAGCAGCCGCGGUAAUACGAAGGGACCUAGCGUAGUUCGGAAUUACUGGGCUUAAAGAGUUCGUAGGUGGUUGAAAAAGUUGGUGGUGAAAUCCCAGAGCUUAACUCUGGAACUGCCAUCAAAACUUUUCAGCUAGAGUAUGAUAGAGGAAAGCAGAAUUUCUAGUGUAGAGGUGAAAUUCGUAGAUAUUAGAAAGAAUACCAAUUGCGAAGGCAGCUUUCUGGAUCAUUACUGACACUGAGGAACGAAAGCAUGGGUAGCGAAGAGGAUUAGAUACCCUCGUAGUCCAUGCCGUAAACGAUGUGUGUUAGACGUUGGAAAUUUAUUUUCAGUGUCGCAGCGAAAGCGAUAAACACACCGCCUGGGGAGUACG